GCUGCUCUUCCUUCGCUCCGUCACUUCCUCCACCGCGUUCUGUUUCUUUUUUUUCAAUUUGUUAUCUUUUAAGAAGUCUCGUCGUUUAUGUGUAGUUAUUUCCUUUGUUCUUUUUCGUUUUCUAUUUCCGAUGGCUACUGCACCAGUAAAGUCACAGCCUUUGCACAACUUCAACUUCCCGUUUCUUAAAUGGGGAACCCACGGAGGUGGAAGUUCUUCCAACACUAACGCCGACCACCUCCGUUCUCCCGAAUCCGACUCCGACCACGACCGUCUACGUCCGACGCGUGUCGGGUCACGCUCUACCCGCGUUCACCGCUUAUCCUUUCUUCCCCCGCCUAGAAUCAUCAACCGACACCCCCGCGAAGAACAACAACAACAACAGAAACAAGAAGAAGAGUCGUUAAAUCCGCAAGGAAACGAGGCUGAAGAAGACGACGAUGAUGAGGAAACGGUGCCGAGACCGUGGAAUUUGAGGCCUCGCAAGUUGGUGGCGGAGACGUCGGUGGCGGAAAAGAUGAGUGAAACGGCGGCGCCGAAGUCGAUGAGAUUAAGAGGCUUGACCGAGAAUGGAGUGGCUACAGAAAAGAAAGAGAAAAGGAAAUUUUGGAUAGCUUUAUCAAAGGAAGAGAUUGAAGAAGACAUAUUUGUGAUAACAGGAUCAAGACCUGCCAGAAGGCCCAAGAAAAGGCCUAAGAACAUUCAGAAGCAGCUUGAUAAUGUUUUUCCUGGGCUAUGGUUGGUUGGUACCACGGCUGAUGCUUACCGAAUUGCUGAUGCUCCUGUUAAGAAAUAGAUCUGCUCUCAGUCUAAGAUUCUUAAAAGAUUCCCAUAUCCAAAAGGUAGUCUCUAGUUUCUUUAACUUUGUGUUCUUUGAAUUUCUAUUGUUGUUUUAAUUUUCCUAAGCCUGCAGCUAAAAUAGUUUGGUGAUAAUGUUUGCAGGGGAUAGUUAUGGUAAUAGUGAAUAUGGAAAAUCUUGGAGCUUUGUAGGGUAUGGCACAUUGAGACCUCAAUUUUUUUAAGGUGUAAUGAAAAUAUGAUGGUUGAGAAGGAAGACAAUGAGAAGAUAUUUAAGUUUCUUUUAUGUUUCUUAUUUCGAGUCCUGCAAAGGGAAGAGUAGGUUAGAGUUUUAGUGGAUUUUUAAUUGAUGGAUGUCUUUCAAGACAUCAAAUAUGAACAUAAAUAUGGAUGGAAAGAGAUGGUUUCUUUCAAAUG
Hibiscus syriacus is the source of this 1215-nucleotide RNA transcript. RefSeq lists it as uncharacterized. NCBI's taxonomy places the organism in Eukaryota, Viridiplantae, Streptophyta, Magnoliopsida, Malvales, Malvaceae. The record is from RefSeq and is a predicted model, not a curated record. The transcript has 4 exons.